GAUGAACGCUAGCGGCGUGCCUAAUGCAUGCAAGUCGAACGGGAACCUUUAGAUUCGUCUGAAGGGGAGAGUGGCGAACGGGUGAGUAACACGUUGGUGACCUACCCCAGAGAGGGGGAUAACCAUUGGAAACGAUGGCUAAUACCCCGGAUGUCCCUACUGUUAGAGAGUAGUGACUAAAGCUCCGGCGCUCUGGGAGGGGCCUGCGGCCCAUCAGCUAGUUGGUAGGGUAAUGGCCUACCAAGGCAAAGACGGGUAGGGGGCGUGAGAGCGUGACCCCCCACACUGGUACUGAUACACGGACCAGAUACCUACGGGGUAGCAGCAGCAAGGAAUAUUGCCCAAUGGACGAAAGUCUGAGGCAGCAACGCCGCGUGGAGGAUGAAGGCCUUCGGGUUGUAAACUCCUUUUCUGGGGGAAGAGAAAGGACGGUACCCCAGGAAUAAGUCUCGGCUAACUACGUG
Molecule: ribosomal RNA, 464 nt
Filed under: uncultured bacterium
Lineage: Bacteria
Description: bacterial SSU rRNA
Rfam family: Bacterial small subunit ribosomal RNA
Source: RNAcentral